Molecule: non-coding RNA, 59 nt
Filed under: Pongo abelii (Sumatran orangutan)
Lineage: Eukaryota; Metazoa; Chordata; Mammalia; Primates; Hominidae
Source: RNAcentral
CACACGUGUGGAGGAAGGAGAGGAAGGGAUGAUGGCACUCCUAUCCUUACACACAGGUA